CGUGGCCAGUAAUGAUCAUAAGUUGGGUGUCAACAGCUACUAAAACUGUAACAGCGAAUAAUAGUGAAAAAACAUUUAAGGCAUAAAGUGAAUAAAAAUGUUCUUCUUGAUCAAGAAAGUAUUCAGACAAAAAGGGUAGUGUCAAAGGACGAGAUUCAUUUAAAGGUUCAAUUACAUCCAUCAAACAUGGCACGAAAGUCAUAGCCAAAUAUGCUGUCGAGAUAAAAUAUACAUAUCCUAAUAAAAAAAGAUAUUCGGGAAUAAGAAUAAUCAAUCACCUGAGGUAAAUUAAAGGACAAUAACAUUAUAUUAGACAUAUAAAAACGAUAUGAACGAGACUUUUGAUAAGGCCACAAUCCAAUAAAAGAUAAUAGACGAUAGUUAAAAUUAUACAAGCCACCCUCAAAGAUAUCCAUGUUACGCCAAAGACACGAUUCAUUCUAAACGAAAUUUUCUAAGGAGCAUAAGGGUAACUUCCCUUUACUAAGAGGAGGCGGUUUCAUGUAAAAUAUUCAGAACCACCCUUUGUUCAUGCUUCUCAUUACAAGUCGUACGCGUCCUCUGUGUAUUUCAAAGAGGAGUUUAUACAAAAGCUAUUAUUAUCUUUGACGUAGAUAAUAAUUAGUAAUAUGACUGAAGUUUUAACAUUUUCUUUGUCUUUCAUUUCAAACGUCUCGUUGUACUAGUUUAGAAACGAGACUAUUUUAAUUGUAUGUCUAUGUUAGAAACUAGAGUUGAAAAUACUCAUAACAUUUUAUCUUUACAGCAAACCCGUAAAAUGUAGCAAGUUGUUUUAUCGUGUAAUUUACUCGGUAGCUUGCAUUUCUGUUUUAAGUAUACGAUAGUCGCUGGUGUUUCAGGAAAUAUCAGUUGUUUCUUAGGAUGAAAUCCAUUCUUCAUAUGUAAGAAAUCUAUACUCGUGCUUGGUACGUUCUUCUUCAUUUUAUUAAAUCAUUAACUUAGUGAUUAAAUAAAUUAAUAAGAAGGUUUCGGGAAGAGAAAAUCAAUAGUUUAUCAAUAUAUUUACGAUAUAUACGAAUGAAAUAUUUUCAAAGAAAAGGCGUGUGUGAAAAUUUGUUAUAUUUAACAACUACUACGAUCCUUUAACAUUCAUCAUUAGCUAUGAAUUAGGUAUGCAUUCACUAAUGCGUCGAUACAAUUACCAUGAAAUACGACCCAGAGGUUUGGACAAUCUUAAAAAAGACAAAUGAAUAUUCUAAAUUGCUAAAUGAAUGUGAAGCACGGCACACAAAUGGAUUUUUUUUAAUUUAUCUACCUUCGCAAAAGUUUCUAAACAAAAUAUGAAUGUUUUUCCAGCAGUCAGAUAACAAGGUUCUAGGCUUCUUCGUAUUACUAAUAGUAAUAAUCUAUGAAUUUCAAUUGGUGCUUCAUACCAUAAUCCGCUAUAUCUACAAGAAGGAUAACAUAUACAUAAAAGAUGAGUAAAUUGAGCACAUGCAAAAACGAAAAAUGUAAAUGCUUCUGCUUUUUUAUCCAACAAUAUUAAUAUCUACGUAUAACGAUAAAUAUAAAGAAUGAAAAAGAUUUGUUUUAAAAUUAUGAGUACAAAAGGAAGUAUAUAGGACACUUACUUGGAACAUAGAAAUACUCAAACAUACCAAUCCCAUAAAAGCCUGCAUUAGAAAAGAUACCGAAUAAGAAGAUUCAAUAAGUUUUGCAAACCUUUUGAAAAAAGAUUUCAAUAAAUUACAAAAAGCAGUAAAUUCAUUUGUGUAAUGUACAAUGCUAUCGAAAUACAUCUGUCUAGUUUGAUGAUCCAAUAAAACUUCAGACUCGAGCCGAUCGUUCAACAAAUGUUCUAGACGAAAUCUACAGUGUUAUCAAGAAUGAAUCUAAUCGUAAAGUAUCAAUGAAAAUUUCUAUAAAUCAAAAUAAAUGCUUUCUUACCCUACUGCAGAAAACAAGCCGCAUAUGUGUGAAUUAAAAGUCAAAAAUUGACUAUCCGUAGCAACUAAUACCGUAAUUCCAACUGUAAUUUCAAUACUCAUGUGACAAUGAAUAUAAUAAAAAUAUUCUUGUUCGUCGACAAAGUAAUAGCUUUUAACAAUACUUCUCAAAGGGCGAGACUCGUUCAAAGGUGCUAAAAUAUCCAUGAAGCGUGGAAAAAGUGGCAUUGUUAAGAACAAUACCAUACAUGUGUAAAUAUACGCUGCAACAAAAAGAAAACCCCUAUCUGUUGCCCAUACAUUGAGUAUGAUUGAACGAGAAAGGGGAAAAAGGACAAGUAUUAAUUUGCUUUCAACUGACUUGAGGAAAAAAUAAUUUCAAUGAGACAGAGAGCUUGAAAUUAAUAUAAAUGUAAUCUAAAUCUCAAAAAGGAAGAUUUUCAUGAUUUUAAAUCACAUAAGGAUUAUUAGGAAUAAUUAACUCAAUACCAACAGCAGUCUGCAUGAUCUUAAAAAAGAAAUUGAUACUUGUUAAAUGUACCAAUUUGUACGUAUAUUAUUUGUAUUUAUAUACAUACAUACCGUCGAAAAGCUUUCGAAACAAAAGAUAAAUAUUUUUCCAGCAGUUAAAUAACAAGGCUGGAGACUUCUUCGAAUUAUUAAUAAUACUAAUCUGUGUAUUUCAAUUGGUGCCUCGUACCACUUUCCACUAUACCUGUAUAAUAUAUUAAAACAAAAUGAUUAAUAUCAUAAAUGAAAUAUUUACAGAAUAAGAAAAGGUUAUUGUUGAUUGUAUUACUAACGCUUUAACACGGACAUCGAUGCUAUAAUCAAUCAAUUUUUGACCAGGAUAGCACAUGCAAAAAAUGUGAACAAUUUGUGCAGCUGUAAAAGCGAUGUAUCUAAACCCUUCGCUAGAUGUUUUAAACACUAUUACUAUCUAUAAAGAUAAUAAAAUAUAAUUUAAUGCAUUAGUAUUAUAUCUAAUAACAACAAAAAAAAAGAAGAAGAGAAAGAGAGAAAUACUUAAAACUUACUUGAAACAAAGAAAGAGUCAUACACGCUAAACUCGAGCCAACUUGGGAAAGUAAAAAAAACGAAUAAGAAGAUUCAAUGAGGUCGGCGAACCUUAUAAAAAAAAGAAAUCAAAAAGAAGAAACAAAAGGA
Molecule: long non-coding RNA, 3074 nt
Organism: Polistes canadensis
Lineage: Eukaryota; Metazoa; Arthropoda; Insecta; Hymenoptera; Vespidae
Exons: 7
Source: RefSeq, a predicted model, not a curated record